CCAGGAGUUCCCUCGCCGUUGGCUGCCUGCCAUGGUUCCAGCGGGACUCAGUCAAGGGCUGUGCUUUUAGGGAAGGUUCCACACACACAGGAGCAGGGAGAUGCAGCAUGCCUCACAGCGUCCCCACCCGGACCUGGCCGUCCCCAGGUCCCAACCCCUCGGGGUGCGGAGCUUUCAGGGAGCAGCAGCUCUGUGGCUAGAGGAGAAGCGUGGGUGGCCUCCAGGGACGGGGUCAUGUGGCCGGCAUCUUCAGGCGGAGUUCGCCAUGUUCAGCGGGACCCACGUGGAGCGGGACUUUGUGGAGGCGCCCUCGCAGAUGCUGGAGAACUGGGUGUGGGAGCAGGAGCCGCUGCUGCGGAUGUCGCGGCACUACCGCACAGGCAGCGCCGUGCCCCGGGAGCUCCUGGAGAAGCUCAUUGAGUCCCGGCAGG
This 431-nucleotide small RNA is filed under the name Pan troglodytes (chimpanzee). RNAcentral describes it as "processed transcript". The record is from RNAcentral. Lineage: Eukaryota; Metazoa; Chordata; Mammalia; Primates; Hominidae.